GCCGCGGUAAUACGAAGGGACCUAGCGUAGUUCGGAAUUACUGGGCUUAAAGAGUUCGUAGGUUGUUAAAAAAGUUGGUGGUGAAAUCCCAGAGCUCAACUCUGGAACUGCCAUCAAAACUUUUUAGCUAGAGUAUGAUAGAGGAAAGCAGAAUUUCUAGUGUAGAGGUGAAAUUCGUAGAUAUUAGAAAGAAUACCAAUUGCGAAGGCAGCUUUCUGGAUCAUUACUGACGCUGAGGAACGAAAGCAUGGGUAGCGAAGAGGAUUAGAUACCCUCGUAGUCCAUGCCGUAAACGAUGUGUGUUAGACGUUGGAAAUUUAUUUUCAGUGUCGCAGCGAAAGCAGUAAACACACCGCCUGGGGAGUACGACCGCAAGGUUAAAACUCAAAUGAAUUGACGGGGACCCGCACAAGUAGUGGAGCAUGUGGUUUAAUUCGAAGAUACGCGCAGAACCUUACCAACACUUGACAUGUUCGUCGCGACUUUAAGAGAUUAAAGUUUUCGGUUCGGCCGGACGAAACACAGGUGCUGCAUGGCUGUCGUCAGCUCGUGUCGUGAGAUGUUGGGUUAAGUCCCGCAACGAGCGCAACCCUCACUUUUAGUUGCCAUCAUUUAGUUGGGCACUCUGAAAGAACUGCCAGUGAUAAGCUGGAGGAAGGUGGGGAUGACGUCAAGUCCUCAUGGCCCUUACGUGUUGGGCUACACACGUGCUACAAUGGCAUUUACAAUAGGAAGCAAGAUGGCGACAUUAAGCAAAUCCUAAAAAAAUGCCUCAGUUCGGAUUGUACUCUGCAACUCGAGUACAUGAAGCUGGAAUUACUAGUAAUCGCGGAUCAGCGCGCCGCGGUGAAUACGUUCCCGGGUCUUGUACACACCGCCCGUCACACCAUGGGAGUUGGUUCUACCUUAAGGCAAAGUUUAAAACCUUUGACCACGGUAUAGUCAGCGACUGGGGUGAAGUCGUAACAAGGUAGCCGUAGGGGAACCUGCGGCUG
RNAcentral lists this ribosomal RNA (995 nucleotides) under marine metagenome. RNAcentral describes it as "bacterial SSU rRNA". It matches the Rfam family "Bacterial small subunit ribosomal RNA", at positions 514 to 1520 of the family's 1533-position model. The record is from RNAcentral.